GACGAACGCUGGCGGCGUGCUUAACACAUGCAAGUCGAACGGAAAGGCCCUGCUUUUGUGGGUCGCUCGAGUGGCGAACGGGUGAGUAACACGUGAGUAACCUGCCCUUGACUUUGGGAUAACUUCAGGAAACUGGGGCUAAUACCGGAUAGGAGCUCCUGCUGCAUGGUGGGGGUUGGAAAGUUUCGGCGGUUGGGGAUGGACUGGCGGCUUACCAGCUGGUUGGUGGGGUAGUGGCUUACCAAGGCUUUGACGGGUAGCCGGCCUGAGAGGGUGACCGGCCACAUUGGGACUGAGAUACGGCCCAGACUCCUACGGGAGGCAGCAGUGGGGAAUAUUGCACAAUGGGCGGAAGCCUGAUGCAGCAACGCCGCGUGCGGGAUGACGGCCUUCGGGUUGUAAACCGCUUUCGCCUGUGACGAAGCGUGAGUGACGGUAAUGGGUAAAGAAGCACCGGCUAACUACGUG
Molecule: ribosomal RNA, 468 nt
Filed under: uncultured bacterium
Lineage: Bacteria
Description: partial 16S ribosomal RNA
Rfam family: Bacterial small subunit ribosomal RNA
Source: RNAcentral